RNAcentral lists this ribosomal RNA (312 nucleotides) under uncultured Glomus. Its description in RNAcentral is "SSU rRNA". It matches the Rfam family "Eukaryotic small subunit ribosomal RNA", at positions 569 to 888 of the family's 1831-position model. The record is from RNAcentral. Lineage: Eukaryota; Fungi; Glomeromycota; Glomeromycetes; Glomerales; Glomeraceae.
AGCAGCCGCGGUAAUUCCAGCUCCAAUAGCGUAUAUUAAAGUUGCUGCAGUUAAAAAGCUCGUAGUUGAAUUUCGGGACCAUCAUGUUGGUCGUGCCUCGGUACGUACUGGCAUUGUUGGUUCUCCCUUCUGAAGAACCUCGAUGUCAUUAAUUUGGUGUCUUGGGGAAUCAGGACUGUUACUUUGAAAAAUUAGAGUGUUUAAAGCAGGCUCGCGCUUGAAUACAUUAGCAUGGAAUAAUGAAAUAGGACGUUUGAUUCUAUUUUGUUGGUUUCUAGGAUCGACGUAAUGAUUAAUAGGGAUAGUUGGGGC